RNAcentral lists this ribosomal RNA (492 nucleotides) under uncultured bacterium. RNAcentral's name for it is "partial 16S ribosomal RNA". It matches the Rfam family "Bacterial small subunit ribosomal RNA", at positions 29 to 507 of the family's 1533-position model. The record is from RNAcentral.
AGUGAACGCUGGCGGUAGGCCUAACACAUGCAAGUCGAACGGCAGCACAGUAAGAGCUUGCUCUUACGGGUGGCGAGUGGCGGACGGGUGAGGAAUACAUCGGAAUCUACUUUUUCGUGGGGGAUAACGUAGGGAAACUUACGCUACUACCGCAUACGACCUACGGGUGAAAGCAGGGGAUCUUCGGACCUUGCGCGAUUGAAUGAGCCGAUGUCGGAUUAGCUAGUUGGCGGGGUAAAGGCCCACCAAGGCAACGAUCCGUAGCUGGUCUGAGAGGAUGAUCGGCCACACUGGAACUGAGACACGGUCCAGACUCCUACGGGAGGCAGCAGUGGGGAAUAUUGGACAAUGGGCGCAAGCCUGAUCCAGCCAUACCGCGUGGGUGAAGAAGGCCUUCGGGUUGUAAAGCCCUUUUGUUGGGAAAGAAAAGCAGCAGGUUAAUACCCCGCUGUUCUGACGGUACCCAAAGAAUAAGCACCGGCUAACUUCGUG